GUGCAUGACCUGAGGAUGUGCCCUUUUCUUCUGAACGCAACUAUUUAUCUGGUACAGAAAAUUGCUUCUCCCUGCAAAAUCCAUCUCACUUCCAUCCACUCACCACCUUGCUCAUGUUCUCUCACCACCGUGACAUCAGCAAAACCACUUUUGUUUUUCCUCCUGCGUUCAAGAAGGAAGUCAUUCUCAUCCAGCAGCUGAUGACCACUGAAAACAAGACGUAGGUUUUUGCUCCCACAUCCCCCCCCUAAAAAAAAAAAAAAGAUUAAGAAAGAUCUGAAUAGUACGAACAAGCUACAAGGAUAACACAAUGAAAAGGCUGCAUGACUAAGUGCUCUAAACUCUGGAUUUAUGGAUGAGUAAACAACUUAAACUCCAUCUCAUUGCAAGUCUGCAUUACAGAGUGAUAAAUUCUAAUUAUGUAAUCAAAGUUACUUUGCCUACAUCUGUGUUCCUUCAGCAAUACAGGACUGAGUGAUCUUGCACAACGUUAUGGUGGGAACAGGAUGGAAUUGCUCAAUGGAAGGUUACAUCAUGUUCAGCCAGUCCAGCAACCACAGGGCAGAAAGAAGGAGUUAAUAUUUCCUCGGUUUGUAGUGAUUAAAGUUAACAUUGAAGCUAUGUUCAGGUAUCGUUCUUUCACACUUGAAGAGGAGCUCAUCCUGCAGACUAAGAAAGAAAGCAUAUUCAAAGACAAAGAAGGCAGAGCACUACCCCCAGAGCAUCAGUUAGGGAUAAAAUAAGCGAUUUAAGCCCAAUUCAAUGCUAUAUAUAAGACACACAAUGGAAACCUCCAGCACUCAUGUACAGAAAGCACUUUGAAUGUAUAGAUCUCUAAUACCCCAAUACCACGGAUAUCCAACAUCUUCUAAACAUAAAAUAAGAUGUUUUAAUCCAUUUACAGACCUAUAUAGACACAAAUAGAUAUCGGACACAAAAUGCAUUUGCGCUGAUAUUGUUAGGAAACGGGGUGCCUAACAGAUUCAGCCGAACCCUACAAACAGAUCCAUACUCUGAUACAACAACUGCAGACAAUCAGCAAGCCAAAAGUAACCUCUACAAAUAAACACACUGAUUUCCAUGGGACUGUAGCACAAAGUACUGUCUUAUUCCUCACGUGAACCAGGUAGUAUAUUACCACUUAUAUUUACAGCAGAGAAAUACUGAGGGCCUUGGCUACUAUUUGAUAUCUUUGCUGUGUUUCUAGCAAAGAGUGUAUGUGUGUGUGAGAGAGGGAGAGACACAGGGGGGUGGGGAGCUGAAGGGGAUGCUGUGUAUGAAAUUCAACAAAGAGAUGGAUCUUUUCCAUUAUACAGCCAUGAAGAAAUACCAGAGACAUUCUAUCUGUUCAUGUAUCCAGCCAUCCUGUAACCCAAUUAACCCAGUCCUUUUAGGGGGAAUAAAUACGUUCUAAUAUCAGCC
RNAcentral lists this long non-coding RNA (1422 nucleotides) under Gallus gallus (chicken). Its description in RNAcentral is "lncRNA (ENSGALG00010025818.1)". The record is from RNAcentral. Lineage: Eukaryota; Metazoa; Chordata; Aves; Galliformes; Phasianidae.